Molecule: long non-coding RNA, 1581 nt
Organism: Quercus robur (English oak)
Lineage: Eukaryota; Viridiplantae; Streptophyta; Magnoliopsida; Fagales; Fagaceae
Exons: 2
Source: RefSeq, a predicted model, not a curated record
ACAAGAAAAAAAAAUAGAGAAAAAAGUGUGUGAGUGGUUCAAAAAAAGAUAGAGAACAAGAAGUUGACACAGAACAAGAUAGGGGACACGAAACACACAUGCAAGAACAAAGGGCUUUGGGUGGAAUGAUGAUGAGUGCAGUGGCAGUGCAAUAAAAGGAAAGUAAAGUGAUAAGACGUUUACACCUACUACCACAGACAACUGAGAAAGCUAGAAGUAAAGAUACUAUCCUGGUUUAAAACAAACAACCGGCGAAAUAAAGUCAGAGGAAGAAAACCGGCGGUUACCCAAAGGGAAAACGCUCUCAGCUAGAGAGAGAAAAACUUAAGGGGGUUGUUGUCAACCAAUUUUUGCUCCCCAAACCUGUUUGCCUAGAUCAACGUCCAGAUUUUUGUUUUUUUAAUUUUUUUUAUAGGACAUCAGUUCAGAUCGUGCAUCAAAUACGUUGUUUUUGAUGUUAUUGUGCCUGAGAGAGUAAAUCGGGCAAUGGUGAUGGUAGCAUCGUUUGUGGCGGCAUCUGUGGUGGGUUGCUGAAUGUGGAAGUUAAAUUCCAGCAAAGAGGAGGUUAUAAUUUAGUUGUCAUUGUGUGUAGUGAGUUGUAUUGUUUUUUUUAGUAAGAUGAUAACGUGGCAUUUAUUUAUUGGUUUGUUAGGUGGCGAAAAACAUGACUUUUACUUCAUGACCGUACCCAAUUUACACUUGACAGACAGAGUUGAACGUCGUUCUAAAAAAAAAAGAAGAAAAAUUGAACGUGGAGAUCUCCGCCAUCUAAUUUCUUUUCCUUCCUCCCGCCCAGGCCAAACAAAGAAAAACAAUCAGAAGAGAUGAGAUGAGAAAAUAUGACAGCAAAAGUACCAGAGCAAUCAACAGCACGGCAAGCCAUCACGAUCGAUGAUAGUCAGAGAGAGCAAAGGAACCAGCAGUAGAGAAAGCAGAAAGUCAAGACAGAAGCCAGUGGAGGCAAAUACUAUAGGACAAUAGCAACAGGAAUCUGGAAACCCCCCAGAUCUACGAGCUUCAAAACCUUCACUUCCCAGAUCGGCCGUUGACACACCACCUCUAUACCCAAAACCGUCACAUAUCACCGAUCUAGGCACUUAGAUGGGUGAGAAGUGAGAUCUCCGUACACAAAGAAUCACACCGCCGGAGAUGGUGGUGAUCGAUGCCGGAGAGAUCUCAGAUGAGAGCGGUCAAAACUGUGCGGGUCGGGUUAAACCGAUACAGUCUGUUCGCUGCCCUACCCGGUUCUAUAGGGCCAGAGUUGGGCCGGGUAAGUCUCAACAAUGUUUAUCAUUUCUUUAUAGCUUCAUGUUACGCACAGCCAACAAGCCCAGCCUUGAAAAGAAAAAAAACUUGGUCCAAAGCCUUCAAAUUCAGGCCACUCAAAUCAAAAUUAAAACCCAAUAAACGCAAGAAUCUACCAAGCUUUUUUUUUUUAAUAAAAGCGGCACAAAACCGUUAACAGCUUUCCUUCCUCAAACUUCAGCCCAUGCAAGAUUUCACCAUGUAAUCUAAUUUUACAUCUAUAAACAUUCUCCUUUUACUUGGUGUCUGGUGAAAAUCUUUCAGUUCAUAUUUUAA